RNAcentral lists this long non-coding RNA (204 nucleotides) under Solanum tuberosum (potato). RNAcentral's name for it is "long non-coding RNA (STUB_LNC008075)". The record is from RNAcentral. Lineage: Eukaryota; Viridiplantae; Streptophyta; Magnoliopsida; Solanales; Solanaceae.
AUUGCAAUCAACUAUUUCAAAGUACAUUUCCUUGGUCUUUGUGUAGGAUAAUUGCUAGUAUCCUAAGCAUGUUCUUUUGCUAUGCGAGGUCCACCAAAUUUUCUAGCAACCAUUCCAGUUACUUCACUCUCACUAAUUUUGCCAUCAACAUUCUUGCUUCUUCCAUAUUCUCACAUGAUUGUGCUGUAGCUUUUACGAUGGUAC